UACGUAGGGUGCAAGCGUUGUCCGGAUUUAUUGGGCGUAAAGAGCUCGUAGGCGGCUUGGCAAGUCGGGUGUGAAACCUCCAGGCUCAACCUGGAGACGCCACUCGAUACUGCCAUGGCUAGAGUCCGGUAGGGGACCACGGAAUUCCUGGUGUAGCGGUGAAAUGCGCAGAUAUCAGGAGGAACACCGGUGGCGAAGGCGGUGGUCUGGGCCGGCACUGACGCUCAUGCACGAAAGCGUGGGGAGCAAACAGG
Molecule: ribosomal RNA, 254 nt
Filed under: uncultured bacterium
Lineage: Bacteria
Description: partial 16S ribosomal RNA
Rfam family: Bacterial small subunit ribosomal RNA
Source: RNAcentral